CUUGCUAGCUGCAAGGGGGGCUGGGAAAUGUAGUCUGUGGCUAGGCAGCCGCUUCCCAGUGACAACUGCACACGGAGGAGGGGGAGCAUGAGUGUUCAGUCGACAGGUGGCCAUCUUUGCCCCAGCUGGGAGCGGGCCUGAAGCAGGAAAUGCCCUGUCUCCAGCAGGUUCUAGGAACACGCUCCCACAUCUUCGCCCACGGGCUGUACAAGCAAAGGCGACGUGGGCCUCGAGCUGUAGUUUGCUGACACCUCCCCACCCUCUAAAUCCUCUGACAACCAGAAAGGACACCACUGGCACCGACGCCUUCUCCAGUCUGGGUUUUGCCUCCCAGAGGCCCGAGGCCACGCUGCUGACACCGGAGCCCCGCCUGGAUGCCUGGCUCCGGAAGACGGAGGAAGAGGCGGGGCCGGGCCCGGGCCUGCUCCCGGGUCUCCACUCAGACUGGCCACAUUGCAGUCGCUGCACACGGCAGGUGGCCCCCAAGUUGGACAGCUCAGGCCUAACCCAACCCUGAGCCCCAGCCCUUAACCCUAAAAGCUGCCUGAGUAACUACAAGAACCUCCAUCCAUCCUUUUCC
Molecule: long non-coding RNA, 580 nt
Filed under: Equus caballus (horse)
Lineage: Eukaryota; Metazoa; Chordata; Mammalia; Perissodactyla; Equidae
Description: lncRNA (ENSECAG00000056502.1)
Source: RNAcentral